AGCAGCCGCGGUAAUUCUAGCUCCGAUAGCGUAUAUUAAAGUUGUUGCAGUUAAAAAGCUCGUAGUUGAAUUUCGGGAUCAAUUGAUUGGUCAUGCCUUGGUAUGAACUGGUCAUAUUGGUUCUCACCUUCUAAUGAACCAUAAUGUCAUUCACUUGAUGUUAUGGGGAAUUAGGACUGUUACCUUGAAAAAUUAGAGUGUUUAAAGCAGGCUUACGCUUGAAUACAUUAGCAUGGAAUAAUGAAAUAGGACAUCGCAUUCUAUUUUGUUGGUUUCUAGGAUCGAUGUAAUGAUUAAUAGGGAUAGUUGGGGGCAUUAGUAUUCAAUUGUCAGAGGUGAAAUUCUUGGAUUUAUUGAAGACUAACUACUGCGAAAGCAUUU
RNAcentral lists this small RNA (381 nucleotides) under uncultured Glomus. RNAcentral's name for it is "SSU rRNA". It matches the Rfam family "Eukaryotic small subunit ribosomal RNA", at positions 569 to 956 of the family's 1831-position model. Lineage: Eukaryota; Fungi; Glomeromycota; Glomeromycetes; Glomerales; Glomeraceae. The record is from RNAcentral.